CCCGGACUGGUUCGUAAACUUCCCAGUUAUAAAAAACCAAGAACUU
RNAcentral lists this non-coding RNA (46 nucleotides) under Paucilactobacillus suebicus. Its description in RNAcentral is "Lactobacillus suebicus PreQ1-I sequence". It matches the Rfam family "PreQ1 (pre queuosine) riboswitch aptamer". From Rfam's summary of the family: This family is a bacterial riboswitch that binds to the metabolite preQ1, an intermediate in the biosynthesis of the modified nucleoside queuosine from GTP. One example of this riboswitch is located in the leader of the Bacillus subtilis ykvJKLM (queCDEF) operon which encodes four genes necessary for queuosine production. PreQ1 binding to the riboswitch aptamer is thought to induce premature transcription termination within the leader to down-regulate expression of these genes. Lineage: Bacteria; Bacillati; Bacillota; Bacilli; Lactobacillales; Lactobacillaceae. The record is from RNAcentral.